This 253-nucleotide ribosomal RNA is filed under the name uncultured bacterium. RNAcentral describes it as "partial 16S ribosomal RNA". It matches the Rfam family "Bacterial small subunit ribosomal RNA", at positions 524 to 776 of the family's 1533-position model. The record is from RNAcentral.
UACGUAGGGUGCAAGCGUUGUCCGGAUUUAUUGGGCGUAAAGAGCGUGUAGGCGGCCAUACAGGUCAGCUGUGAAAACUCGAGGCUCAACCUCGAGACGUCGGUUGAAACCGUAUGGCUAGAGUCCGGAAGAGGAGAGUGGAAUUCCCGGUGAUAGCGGUGAAAUGCGCAGAUAUCAGGAGGAACACCGGUGGCGAAGGCGGUUCUCUGGGCAUUACCUGACGUGAGGAGCGAAAGUGUGGGGAGCGAACAGG